AUUGAACGCUGGCGGCAUGCCUAAUACAUGCAAGUCGAACGAUCACUUCGGUGGUAGUGGCGCACGGGUGCGUAACGCGUGGGAAUCUACCCUUGGGUUCGGAAUAACAGUUAGAAAUGACUGCUAAUACCGGAUGAUGACGAAAGUCCAAAGAUUUAUCGCCCAAGGAUGAGCCCGCGUAGGAUUAGCUAGUUGGUGAGGUAAAAGCUCACCAAGGCGACGAUCCUUAGCUGGUCUGAGAGGAUGAUCAGCCACACUGGGACUGAGACACGGCCCAGACUCCGACGGGAGGCAGCAGUAGGGAAUAUUGGAAAAUGGGGGCAACCCUGAUCCAGCAAUGCCGCGUGAGUGAUGAAGGCCUUAGGGUUGUAAAGCUCUUUUACCCGAGAUGAUAAUGACAGUAUCGGGAGAAUAAGCUCCGGCUAACUCCGUGCCAGCAGCCGCCGUAA
Molecule: ribosomal RNA, 449 nt
Filed under: uncultured bacterium
Lineage: Bacteria
Description: partial 16S ribosomal RNA
Rfam family: Bacterial small subunit ribosomal RNA
Source: RNAcentral